GAGAUCAGGAAGGUGGCCGAGUGUGUCGCCGCGGCCAUCAGGGGCUAGAGCAAUGUAUCUUAGGCUCACUUAAGGAAGCUGUAGAGAUGAGCCCAAGGAGGGAAACCAGAAGAGCCCCCCAGGCUCACCAGUUGUUUGUUGGCUCCCUACAAACAUGUCAUUCAAGUGGCUAAUCUUACAACAGCACAAAUUCAUCUAACCAGCAGAAAGAGAAGAGGAGGCUCCAAAGGCACUUGACUACUGAGCAUCACCCUGGACGUGUACAAGUCUGCGUCCUUAUUGUUUUCUUCAUUGGGCCGAACUUUCUGGUCCUCAUCCAACAGCUCUUCUAUCACGUGUUCGAAAGUGUCAGCCAAUGAUGUCAAGCCUCUUGAACCUGCCUUGGGCCCAUUCACGCUCUCCAGAGUCCCAUGGGUCCGCACACCUGGAGAUACUCUAUUAUAGCAAA
RNAcentral lists this long non-coding RNA (448 nucleotides) under Homo sapiens (human). RNAcentral describes it as "BDNF antisense RNA". Lineage: Eukaryota; Metazoa; Chordata; Mammalia; Primates; Hominidae. The record is from RNAcentral.